Molecule: microRNA precursor, 219 nt
Filed under: Oryza sativa (Asian cultivated rice)
Lineage: Eukaryota; Viridiplantae; Streptophyta; Magnoliopsida; Poales; Poaceae
Description: miR3982 stem-loop (osa-MIR3982)
Source: miRBase by way of RNAcentral
CGAUGUGGCGCUCCACGUAGGCAACAAUUUUGCAUCCGGCCCCCUUUUGCAGGACAGCGUGGUGGUAAUAUUGUACUUAGCCCCUUUGAGCCACAGUACCACCCCGAAACUCCCCGAAAUCCCCAAAUCCCUCCUCCCUCACAGGAGCUCAAAGGAGCUAAGUGCAAUUUUUGGAUGAGGCUGGACGCAAAAUAGUUGCCUACAUGGAGCGCCACGUCG